AAGGAUUUAAGUUAAACACUUAAACUAACAACCUUCAAAGUUGUAAAUAGAGGCUCUCUAAGCCUUG
This 67-nucleotide transfer RNA is filed under the name Epuraea guttata. Its description in RNAcentral is "tRNA-Trp". The record is from RNAcentral. Lineage: Eukaryota; Metazoa; Arthropoda; Insecta; Coleoptera; Nitidulidae.